RNAcentral lists this ribosomal RNA (374 nucleotides) under uncultured archaeon. RNAcentral describes it as "bacterial SSU rRNA". It matches the Rfam family "Archaeal small subunit ribosomal RNA", at positions 350 to 727 of the family's 1478-position model. The record is from RNAcentral.
UGUCAAUGGGGGAAACCCCGAACAGGGGGCGCCAAGUGCAUGCGUUUUACGUAUGCUGUUCAGUUGUCUAAAAACAGCCGAAGUAAGGGCUGGGUAAGACAGGUGCCAGCCGCCGCGGUAAUACCUGCAGCCCAAGUGGUAAUCGUUAUUAUUGAGCCUAAAGCGUCCGUAGCCGGUUUGGUAAAUCCUCGGGUAAAUCGAGCAGCUCAACUGUUCGAACACCGGGGAGACUGCCAGACUUGGAACCGGGAGAGGUCAGAGGUACUCCAGGGGUAGGGGCUAAAUCCUGUAAUCCCUGGAGGACCACCAGUGGCGAAGGCGUCUGACUAGAACGGAUUCGACGGUAAGGGACGAAACCCUGGGGCGCAAACCGG